RNAcentral lists this long non-coding RNA (618 nucleotides) under Homo sapiens (human). RNAcentral describes it as "HSALNT0199305". Lineage: Eukaryota; Metazoa; Chordata; Mammalia; Primates; Hominidae. The record is from RNAcentral.
GAAAGACACAAAGCCAUCUCUUAUGAGCUUAUUCAGUCCUCUGCAAAAAGAAAGGUCCUGGACAACGUGUUCCCUGCCAGCAACUCCACCCCCUAACAGAUGUUUAAUUGAACACCUACUAUAUGCCAGGAACAGCGGGGUAUAAGACCAAGCCCUCACUCUAAUGAAUUUGAGCCCUAGGAGGAGAGAAGCAGCAAGUCAACUACACGCAAAUAACAAGUGAUAGAGAUGAGACUACAAUCCACGUCUGUUGCCUCUGGCACCCUGUGCUCCAACCUCACAAUCCACAGCAAGCCUGUCCUCUCCACUCUGAUCUGGGCACCUCAGGCCUACAGAGCAGCCACACACAGGGUGGUGGCUGAUGUCUGCUCCCAGGUCUGCACUUCUCAGCUGAGGAAAUUCCACCACUGCCACCAGCACACAGAGAAACCAGAGCUCCAUCCACAAGCACAGCUGUGUGUCCUCGCCGGCUGCUCCUGGCCCUCUCUCUCAUCUCAACUCGUCCAUGGUUCCAGGAGGUGAGGAGAAGCUGGCAAGGCAGGGACAGAGCCCAAGAGUGCCUUGGGUGCGUCUCAGACACCUUUCCUCAAAACAGUCUGGUCCCAGAACCCAAGCAGG